CCUAUGGGGGGCAGCAGGCGCGAAAACUCCGCAAUGCGCGAAAGCGUGACGGGGGAACCCCAAGUGCCGUUGGACUUUUCGUUCGACGGCUUUUAUGGAGUCUAGGAAGCUCCAGGAAUAAGGGCUGGGUAAGUCGGGUGCCAGCCGCCGCGGUAAUACCCGCAGCCCAAGUGGUGGUCGCGAUUAUUGGGCCUAAAGCGCUCGUAGCCGGGUUGGCAAGUCCCUUGUGAAAUCGGACGGCUUAACCGUUCGGCUUGCAAGGGAUACUGCUAGUCUUGAGGCCGGGAGACGUCGAGGGUACUCUGAGGGUAGCGGUGAAAUGCUCUAAUCCUCGGGGGACCACCAGUGGCGAAGGCGCUUGACGAGAACGGACCUGACGGUGAGGGGCGAAGGCUAGGGGAGCGAACGGGAUUAGAUACCCCGGUAGUCC
RNAcentral lists this ribosomal RNA (430 nucleotides) under uncultured archaeon. RNAcentral describes it as "bacterial SSU rRNA". It matches the Rfam family "Archaeal small subunit ribosomal RNA", at positions 322 to 747 of the family's 1478-position model. The record is from RNAcentral.